RNAcentral lists this ribosomal RNA (1343 nucleotides) under uncultured bacterium. RNAcentral describes it as "16S ribosomal RNA". It matches the Rfam family "Bacterial small subunit ribosomal RNA", at positions 28 to 1378 of the family's 1533-position model. The record is from RNAcentral.
GACGAACGCUGGCGGCGUGCUUAACACAUGCAAGUCGAACGGAAAGGCCCUGCUUUUGUGGGGUGCUCGAGUGGCGAACGGGUGAGUAACACGUGAGUAACCUGCCCUUGACUUUGGGAUAACUUCAGGAAACUGGGGCUAAUACCGGAUAGGGGCUCCUGCUGCAUGGUGGGGGUUGGAAAGUUUCGGCGGUUGGGGAUGGACUCGCGGCUUAUCAGCUUGUUGGUGGGGUAGUGGCUUACCAAGGCUUUGACGGGUAGCCGGCCUGAGAGGGUGACCGGCCACAUUGGGACUGAGAUACGGCCCAGACUCCUACGGGAGGCAGCAGUGGGGAAUAUUGCACAAUGGGCGGAAGCCUGAUGCAGCAACGCCGCGUGCGGGAUGACGGCCUUCGGGUUGUAAACCGCUUUCGCCUGUGACGAAGCGUGAGUGACGGUAAUGGGUAAAGAAGCACCGGCUAACUACGUGCCAGCAGCCGCGGUGAUACGUAGGGUGCGAGCGUUGUCCGGAUUUAUUGGGCGUAAAGGGCUCGUAGGUGGUUGAUCGCGUCGGAAGUGUAAUCUUGGGGCUUAACCCUGAGCGUGCUUUCGAUACGGGUUGACUUGAGGAAGGUAGGGGAGAAUGGAAUUCCUGGUGGAGCGGUGGAAUGCGCAGAUAUCAGGAGGAACACCAGUGGCGAAGGCGGUUCUCUGGGCCUUUCCUGACGCUGAGGAGCGAAAGCGUGGGGAGCGAACAGGCUUAGAUACCCUGGUAGUCCACGCUGUAAACGGUGGGUACUAGGUGUGGGGUCCAUUCCACGGGUUCCGUGCCGUAGCUAACGCUUUAAGUACCCCGCCUGGGGAGUACGGCCGCAAGGCUAAAACUCAAAGGAAUUGACGGGGCCCCGCACAAGCGGCGGAGCAUGCGGAUUAAUUCGAUGCAACGCGUAGAACCUUACCUGGGUUUGACAUGGAUCGGGAGCGCUCAGAGAUGGGUGUGCCUCUUUUGGGGUCGGUUCACAGGUGGUGCAUGGCUGUCGUCAGCUCGUGUCGUGAGAUGUUGGGUUAAGUCCCGCAACGAGCGCAACCCUUGUUCACUGUUGCCAGCACGUUAUGGUGGGGACUCAGUGGAGACCGCCGGGGUCAACUCGGAGGAAGGUGGGGAUGACGUCAAGUCAUCAUGCCCCUUAUGUCCAGGGCUUCACGCAUGCUACAAUGGCUGGUACAGAGAGUGGCGAGCCUGUGAGGGUGAGCGAAUCUCGGAAAGCCGGUCUCAGUUCGGAUUGGGGUCUGCAACUCGACCUCAUGAAGUCGGAGUCGCUAGUAAUCGCAGAUCAGCAACGCUGCGGUGAAUACGUUCCCGGG